GCCACAUAACCGGCUAGCAUGACUUCAACGACCUACUUCGUGGUGUUUUAGCAAAACUGACAGCUAGCAUAACAAAGUCACAGCUUGACCUCUGAUUGUUCCAUCAAUGUUAAAAUGUUCAAAUCAAAGGUAAAAAAAAAAAAGGGACGUAUUAUCGUUUCCUCGCACGUUCUGGAGUAUGAAAAGCUGCCUACUUAGGGUGCCUCCUAAGCACACCGAGGCUAUUUUGAAGCGGCCCAUGAUUGUUGUGUUGAUGAAAUUUCCUGAUAUAACUGAUUAUGGUGAUGUUUAUAGUUGAGGGAGAGAAGAAGGUCAUGGAGUAAACGUGGCUGUCUUCUGGAACUUGAUAGAAGAAAGCAUCACACACAUACAUAAACACACACACACACACACACACACAGUGUAAAUGGGCCACAUCCUCAGUGCUGUGUAGGCUGAAACUGGCAGGCGUGCUAAGCUGGCCAAAGCCUCUAAAAGCCUUAACGUUGUCACUACAUAUUUCUGUGUUGGUGACAGGAAGUGACACGGCGCUCGGCCGCCAGGAGCAGGCUGGAGGAUAAACAGAUGCCGCAGCCCGAGGUGGCGUGGAGAUUUCUUCUCUCCUCCGUCGGGAAGGAUGAAAGCGUGCAGAACGAGAGCCAAAGCAAUAAAGAGUAACCUCGCCUGGAGUCGCCUUCCACGAAAGUUCCCCGCACUUUCACAAUAUUGCCCCUAAUGUCCACGCCGUUCAGACGCUUCAGCCAUAUUGCGUUGAACACAGCUCGGGAAAAGGCGGGAUCGCGUGGGAUCUCUGGGGUUUGGCGGAAAUAUGUUUACCCAGUAAUUGAGUCUGAAGGGAACGUGCGCGCCACGGUUCCUCCAUAUUUCUGACAGUUUAGACUUCGCAUUUUUAAAGCACUGCCGUUUCGUUUAGGUGGACUUUUAGACAAAAGGAUUCUGUCUUCAGGCGUUGUUUAGGAGGGUAAUGGUUCUAGCAUUCUAAUCCUUUCUGGAGUCUGAUCAAAAAAAAAAAAAAAGAGCUUUCAUAAGGAUUUAUUUUAACAAGUAGCGGCCAUCGAGAGUUCAACUGCAGAGCAAUGAAGACUGGAUAGAAAAAAGAAUAGCGUUACUUAGCUAAACAAAUAAUUAGCAAAAAGUCUAGACUAGCAUAAUAUGUGCUAGUUAUGUGCUACUAGUUUCAUUAGCAAGGAUUUACUAGUCAUGCUUGACAAAUUAAAUCAGCUAACUAUAGCAAUAGCCACCUAGCCACAGCCCCCUCCCCCACUCUUUACUCUGUGGUAUAGUCCUACAUGUGGUAUACUCCUGGAGUGGAGUUCAUUUAAGGAAGUUUGAGUUGAGUGAAUUUGAAUUAGAGUUUGCCAUCGAGGUCAUCUGAGUUAGAGCUGAGUUCGUUCAUUUAGGGUUCAUUUGAGUCGAGUCAGUCUGAUUUGAGUCCAUUUGAGUUACAGUUGAGUUCAUUUGCGAUCAUUUGAGGUUGGGUUUGUCUGAGUUAAAGCUGAGUUUAACAAAUUCAAGAUGAGUUUAAUUCAUUUGAGUUUGAGUUCGUUUGAGUUACAGAUGAGUUUAAGUCAUUUAAGCUGAGUUGGUUCAUUGGAGUUUGAGUUCAUUUGAGUUAGAGCCGAGUUAGUUUAAGCUGAGUUGAGUUAGAGUUUGAGUUAAUUUGAGCUAGAGCUGAGUUUAAUUCAUUUAAGAUGAGUUGAGUUAGAGUUUGAGUUCAUCUGAGUCAGAGCUGAGUUAAUUUAAGAUGAGUUGAGUUAGAGUUUGAGUUAAUUUGCGCUAGAGCUGAGUUAAUUUAAGCUGAGUUGACUGAGUUGAGUUUGAAGUUCAUUUGAGUCAGAGCUGAGUUAAUUUAAUCUGAGUUGAGUUUGAGUUCAUUUGAGUCAGAGCUGAGUUUAAUUCAUUUAAGCUGAGUUGAGU
This is a long non-coding RNA of Ictalurus punctatus (channel catfish), 1917 nucleotides long. The record is from Ensembl. NCBI's taxonomy places the organism in Eukaryota, Metazoa, Chordata, Actinopteri, Siluriformes, Ictaluridae.